Phascolarctos cinereus (koala) is the source of this 231-nucleotide non-coding RNA. The record is from RefSeq and is a predicted model, not a curated record. Lineage: Eukaryota; Metazoa; Chordata; Mammalia; Diprotodontia; Phascolarctidae.
CAAAAUUGGGUGAGGGGAAAGAAGGAAGAGAGCAAGAAAAUACAAGAGGGGGAAAAUAUCUGAGUAAAUAUGGUGCUAGCACUCCAAAUCCAACAACAAACAUUUAUUAACCACCUAUUACGUGCAAGGCACUGAAGACACAAAAAAUAGAUGCUGGGCUUCUUGGAAUGUGAGACUCCAAAAUCAAAGUCGUCAAUAUCUUCCCAGCUAUCUCCAGUUUUGAGCACAGUC